GACGAACCGUGCGAACGUUGUUCGGAAUCACUGGGCUUAAAGGGCGCGUAGGCGGGUGUGCAAGUCUGCGGUGAAAGCCUCCAGCUUAACUGGAGAAGUGCCGUGGAUACUGCUCAUCUUGAGGAGGGUAGGGGCAUCUGGAACGGUCGGUGGAGCGGUGAAAUGCGUUGAUAUCGACCGGAACUCCGGUGGCGAAGGCGAGGUGCUGGACCCUUCCUGACGCUGAGGCGCGAAAGCCAGGGGAGCAAACGGG
This 253-nucleotide ribosomal RNA is filed under the name uncultured bacterium. RNAcentral describes it as "partial 16S ribosomal RNA". It matches the Rfam family "Bacterial small subunit ribosomal RNA", at positions 524 to 776 of the family's 1533-position model. The record is from RNAcentral.